RNAcentral lists this long non-coding RNA (1194 nucleotides) under Apteryx haastii (Great spotted kiwi). RNAcentral's name for it is "lncRNA (ENSAHAG00000009637.1)". The record is from RNAcentral. Lineage: Eukaryota; Metazoa; Chordata; Aves; Apterygiformes; Apterygidae.
AUGGGCACUAAGGAGGCAGAGCAGCUGGGAGGCUGCUUGCCAAAGGCCACUAAGCCGGUAGCAGAUAGGAGGAUUUCACCCGAUGCAAAGCGCAUCUUCUGUGGAGCAGUUGCGGAUCUAACAGGUACCCGGAAUCACAGCAGGGAUUCAGGCGAGUGGAAACCCCGAAGCGCGUUAUCGCUCCUGGGCUGUUGGACAGCCCUGACCUCCCGCAGGCCGGGAGGCGCAGCCCUUCGACGCGACCCUGCCCGCGGCUGCAGCAUCGCCGCGCGGCCGCACCGGCUCCGGCGAGGCGGCAGCAGCGGCAGCGGCUCCCCGGCUUCAGCAUCUCGCUGCCGUCAAACGGUGCCUCGGCAGUACGGGGGCCUCGGGACACGGGCCCUCGAUCCAACUGCAAGUCGGACAGGCUCCGGCUCCCAAAGCACUGGUGAAGAUUUGGUCCCCCGGGAUCCUGCAGUCUACUUGGGAAGGGGCAGCGGGAAACCCAGCGCGAGGAGCCCUCCGGCCCGGGGGCGAGGAGAGGACUUGCCAGCCGGGCUUUCCGCAAAGGCAAAGGGGGAACCGUUGCGGAAACGGCAGGUGACAGCCCCGGCAGCAGCCGAGGCCUCCUGCCCGCGCGGCACCGGCCCCAGCACCCCCUCUCCGGCCACGCUCCCUCCUUCCUGCCCUCGCGCACCUCCGCUUUCCUGCCUUUCCCAGCACGCCCUCCAGAUUUCCGAGCAAGCCGCGUCCUUCCUGCCCUGCCCCGGCGCCCCGGCCACCCGGCAUGCCCCAUCCGCCCGCGCGGCCGCCUGCUUCUCCCUUUCUCUCUCUGUUCUCCUUUCUUCCCCUCGCGCACGCUCUCCGAGGCGCUGCGCCCCCCGCUCCCUCCCUCCCUCCCUCCCUCCCUCCUCGCCGCUGCCUUCCCCGGCUCGCCCAGCCCUCUGCCUGGCUCCCGGCGGCUUCCCCCUCCCAGGUCUCGGCGCGGGCUGGGGACCACCCGAGGGCCGAGGGGGAAGGGGGUGCGGAUCUGGGGCUUGGGGCUGCGGCGAGCAAUUCAGAGCCGGGUCUUUUCCUCCUGCUCUGCUCAGUGCCUGCAAAAGCGGCAGGAAAACAUUUCCCUGGGAAUUGCUUUUGUUCCUUCCUCUGCGUCUGCGUGCACGAAGCUCUGCUCCGCGCUGGACGUGCCUCAACCUGUCCUUAGGCUCAGAUUAA